Molecule: ribosomal RNA, 644 nt
Filed under: uncultured bacterium
Lineage: Bacteria
Description: bacterial SSU rRNA
Rfam family: Bacterial small subunit ribosomal RNA
Source: RNAcentral
UAAAGGAAGCGAUUCCGGCUACGGAUGGUCAUGCGUCGCAUUAGCUAGUUGGCGGGGUAACGGCCCACCAAGGCGACGAUGCGUAGGGGUUCUGAGAGGAAGGUCCCCCACACUGGUACUGAGACACGGACCAGACUCCUACGGGAGGCAGCAGUGAGGAAUAUUGGUCAAUGGCCGCAGGGCUGAACCAGCCAAGUCGCGUGAGGGAUGACGGUCCUAUGGAUUGUAAACCUCUUUUGUCAGGGAGCAAAGGACGCCACGUGUGGCGUUUUGCGAGUACCUGAAGAAAAAGCAUCGGCUAACUCCGUGCCAGCAGCCGCGGUAAUACGGAGGAUGCGAGCGUUAUCCGGAUUUAUUGGGUUUAAAGGGUGCGCAGGCGGAAUGUCAAGUCAGCGGUAAAAUUUCGGGGCUCAACCCCGUCGUGCCGUUGAAACUGGUGUUCUUGAGUGAGCGAGAAGUAUGCGGAAUGCGUGGUGUAGCGGUGAAAUGCAUAGAUAUCACGCAGAACUCCGAUUGCGAAGGCAGCAUACCGGCGCUCAACUGACGCUCAUGCACGAAAGCGUGGGUAUCGAACAGGAUUAGAUACCCUGGUAGUCCACGCAGUAAACGAUGAAUACUAACUGUCCGGGCCGAUUGAGGUCUGG